GGGGUGCUCGAGUGGCGAACGGGUGAGUAACACGUGAGUAACCUGCCCUUGACUUUGGGAUAACUUCAGGAAACUGGGGCUAAUACCGGAUAGGAGCUCCUGCUGCAUGGUGGGGGUUGGAAAGUUUCGGCGGUUGGGGAUGGACUCGCGGCUUAUCAGCUUGUUGGCGGGGUAGUGGCUUACCAAGGCUUUGACGGGUAGCCGGCCUGAGAGGGUGACCGGCCACAUUGGGACUGAGAUACGGCCCAG
This 249-nucleotide ribosomal RNA is filed under the name uncultured Actinomycetales bacterium. Its description in RNAcentral is "partial 16S ribosomal RNA". It matches the Rfam family "Bacterial small subunit ribosomal RNA", at positions 84 to 334 of the family's 1533-position model. The record is from RNAcentral. Lineage: Bacteria; Bacillati; Actinomycetota; Actinomycetes; Actinomycetales.